GGUUCUGCUGCCAGAUUGCGGUGGGCUGGCUGGAGCAUAAGGGAGAAGAUGAAUGCCAUGGAUGGUCUUCAUGACAGCAAAGACCUGGCAGCCUGAAGUGGCACACCUGAAGAUGUACAAGUUCGGUCAGGAUCGGCUUAGACAGCAGGACAAAACCCCCAAACAUCUAGA
Molecule: long non-coding RNA, 171 nt
Organism: Pantherophis guttatus
Lineage: Eukaryota; Metazoa; Chordata; Lepidosauria; Squamata; Colubridae
Source: RefSeq, a predicted model, not a curated record